CCUACGGGUGACAGCAGUGAGGAAUAUUGGUCAAUGGGCGGGAGCCUGAACCAGCCAAGUCGCGUGAGGGAAGACGGUCCUAUGGAUUGUAAACCUCUUUAGGCGGGGAGCAAUGCCGGGCACGUGUGCCCGGAGGGAGAGUACCCGCAGAAUAAGCAUCGGCUAACUCCGUGCCAGCAGCCGCGGUAAUACGGAGGAUGCGAGCGUUAUCCGGAUUUAUUGGGUUUAAAGGGUGCGUAGGCGGAUUUUUAAGUCAGCGGUAAAAUGUCCGGGCUCAACCCCCGAACUGCAUUUGAAACUGUUGGUCUUGAGUAUCGGAGAGGCAGGCGGAAUUCCUAGUGUAGCGGUGAAAUGCGUAGAUAUUAGGAGGAACACCAGUGGCGAAGGCGGCCUGCUGGACGACAACUGACGGUGAGGCGCGAAAGCGUGGGGAGCAAACAGGAUUAGAUACCCCAGUAGUC
RNAcentral lists this ribosomal RNA (461 nucleotides) under uncultured bacterium. RNAcentral describes it as "partial 16S ribosomal RNA". It matches the Rfam family "Bacterial small subunit ribosomal RNA", at positions 338 to 795 of the family's 1533-position model. The record is from RNAcentral.